RNAcentral lists this ribosomal RNA (253 nucleotides) under uncultured bacterium. RNAcentral's name for it is "partial 16S ribosomal RNA". It matches the Rfam family "Bacterial small subunit ribosomal RNA", at positions 524 to 776 of the family's 1533-position model. The record is from RNAcentral.
UACGUAGGGCGCAAGCGUUGUCCGGAAUUAUUGGGCGUAAAGAGCUCGUAGGCGGCCUGUUACGUCUGCUGUGAAAUCCCGGGGCUUAACCCCGGGCGUGCAGUGGAUACGGGCAGGCUGGAGGCAGGCAGGGGAGAACGGAAUUCCCGGUGUAGCGGUGAAAUGCGCAGAUAUCGGGAGGAACACCGGUGGCGAAGGCGGUUCUCUGGGCCUGUACUGACGCCGAGGAGCGAAAGCGUGGGGAGCGAACAGG